GUGGAUUAGAUACCCUAGUAGUCCACGCCCUAAACGAUGUCAACUGGGUGUUGGGGAAGCGAUUCCUUGGUACCGUAGCUAACGCGUGAAGUUGACCGCCUGGGGAGUACGGCCGCAAGGUUAAAACUCAAAGGAAUUGACGGGGACCCGCACAAGCGGUGGAUGAUGUGGAUUAAUUCGAUGCAACGCGAACAACCUUACCUACCCUUGACAUGUGCCGGAGCCUGCUGAGAGGCGGGUGUGCCCGAAAGGGAACGGCAACACAGGUGCUGCACGGCCGUCGACAGCU
Molecule: ribosomal RNA, 289 nt
Filed under: uncultured bacterium
Lineage: Bacteria
Description: partial 16S ribosomal RNA
Rfam family: Bacterial small subunit ribosomal RNA
Source: RNAcentral